Molecule: ribosomal RNA, 497 nt
Filed under: uncultured bacterium
Lineage: Bacteria
Description: partial 16S ribosomal RNA
Rfam family: Bacterial small subunit ribosomal RNA
Source: RNAcentral
GGUGAACGCUGGCGGCGUGCCUAAUACAUGCAAGUCGAGCGAACAGACGAGGAGCUUGCUCCUCUGACGUUAGCGGCGGACGGGUGAGUAACACGUGGAUAACCUACCUAUAAGACUGGGAUAACUUCGGGAAACCGGAGCUAAUACCGGAUAAUAUAUUGAACCGCAUGGUUCAAUAGUGAAAGACGGUUUUGCUGUCACUUAUAGAUGGAUCCGCGCCGCAUUAGCUAGUUGGUAAGGUAACGGCUUACCAAGGCAACGAUGCGUAGCCGACCUGAGAGGGUGAUCGGCCACACUGGAACUGAGACACGGUCCAGACUCCUACGGGAGGCAGCAGUAGGGAAUAUUCCGCAAUGGGCGAAAGCCUGACGGAGCAACGCCGCGUGAGUGAUGAAGGUCUUCGGAUCGUAAAACUCUGUUAUUAGGGAAGAACAAAUGUGUAAGUAACUAUGCACGUCUUGACGGUACCUAAUCAGAAAGCCACGGCUAACUACGUG